This 107-nucleotide small nuclear RNA is filed under the name Dasypus novemcinctus (nine-banded armadillo). The record is from RNAcentral. Lineage: Eukaryota; Metazoa; Chordata; Mammalia; Cingulata; Dasypodidae.
GUGCUCACUUGAGCAGCACAUAUCCUAAAAUUAGAAUGAUACAGAGAAGAUUAGUGUGGCCCUUGUGCAAGGAUGACACGCAAAUUCAUGAAGGGUUCCAUAUUUUU